Molecule: long non-coding RNA, 816 nt
Filed under: Struthio camelus australis
Lineage: Eukaryota; Metazoa; Chordata; Aves; Struthioniformes; Struthionidae
Description: lncRNA (ENSSCUG00000000540.1)
Source: RNAcentral
UGCACAUGGGAAGCCGGGGUGUUUCCCUGUUCUUCUCCAGCCUGCUUGCAUUUGCUGCAGAGGGGCAGGCUUCUGUGAUCAUAUGCCUAUUUUGUUCUUGUCUCCUCAACAUAUUUCUCUUUUCUUGUGUCUCUGUGCUUGCAGCUCCUCAGCACAAAGCACUCUGUGCGAUCGAGCUGCUAGCACCUCCACCCAGUGCUCCCACUGACGACAGAGGGAGUCCCAGUCACAGGGUCCCUGACAGACCGGACCUCUCGCGCCGCGCCCCUGCUUCCCGCAGGCAUUCGUCACAGCGUUCAGCACCGCUUGGCCUAGGUCAGAUGCCUGCGUUAUUCCGCUGGCCAAACCCCUCGCAGUGGGAUACAGUGCUAGCUCUCUCUUUUUGUUUCUCUUUGUUUAUAGUACUCGAUCCAGCUUUCAGGCCAUGCGCAAAUGCUCUGCUCCCAGCCAACUUGAAUUCAUUUCAAGGAAGAUUGCACAAGAAUUCAGCUCUGCUGCUCCGAGCCAGGCCUGCUGGGCUGGCUGUUUUGUUCUCUCGGGCCCCAGUCCUGCCGAAGGACCUGCUGGCACAAACCCCUGGAGGAACAAGGUUCCUGGAUGCUGGUGAGAAACAGGUUGCUAUCUGAUAUAUUGCCCAAAAUUCACAGAAGGAAUCAUUGGCACUGCUGAUUUCAGAGCGAUCUGUAAAAUCUGCAGUGAUGCCGUUAAACGGGGACCCGCAGACGUGCCUGUUGCAGUGAUGCCAGCCUGCCCGGCUCCCCUCGGCCGGCGUUCAAGGCCGGGUGCGCGGGGUGUGCGCGCCGAGCGGGGUCGGGG